AACGCAGGCGGACCGUUAAGUCGAAUGUGAAAGCCCGGGGCUCAACCCCGGAAGUGCAUUCGAAACUGGCGGUCUUGAGUACGGGAGAGGUGGGUGGAAUUCCUGGUGUAGAGGUGAAAUUCGUAGAUAUCAGGAGGAACACCGGUGGCGAAAGCGGCCCACUGGCCCGAUACUGACGCUCAUGUUCGAAAGCGUGGGGAGCAAACAGGAUUAGAUACCCUGGUAGUCCACGCCGUAAACGAUGAGUGCUAGCUGCUGGGGAUCUUUUAUUUUCCUCGGUGGCGUAGCUAACGCGUUAAGCACUCCGCCUGGGAAGUACGGCCGCAAGGCUAAA
This 334-nucleotide ribosomal RNA is filed under the name uncultured Kofleria sp. RNAcentral describes it as "bacterial SSU rRNA". It matches the Rfam family "Bacterial small subunit ribosomal RNA", at positions 568 to 898 of the family's 1533-position model. Lineage: Bacteria; Pseudomonadati; Myxococcota; Haliangiales; Kofleriaceae. The record is from RNAcentral.